Long non-coding RNA from Lytechinus variegatus (green sea urchin), 587 nucleotides. RefSeq lists it as uncharacterized. The record is from RefSeq and is a predicted model, not a curated record. The transcript has 4 exons. NCBI's taxonomy places the organism in Eukaryota, Metazoa, Echinodermata, Echinoidea, Temnopleuroida, Toxopneustidae.
GUCAUAGAUCCACCACUUGUUGAUCACCCUUCUUCAGCAGCAGUGCAUGCCGCCGUUCCGCAGUCAGAACAUACAAUCGGAAACAUUGCACAAGAUACUUUUCUCUUCUCACCUUUCUCAAGAACAGAAGUAUUCACGAUGAGAAAGCUUGUUCUGGUACUCUUAAUCUCGAUGUUUCUCGUGACUGAGAUCAUUCAAGGCACAGAUGCUGGUAGCGUGUUUGGUAGACGUAGAGGGGCUGCUCCAUAUAAGAGCAAAAAGAAAGGACGUACUCACUUAGAAGACCAGGUUCCGGGUGUUCCUAAAGUUGAUGUCAACGUGAAUAGCGGAUCGAAAAUGGGAGAACUUUAGCACAAAAUUUUUCAUCAGGGGUCCGUUGCAGAAAGAGCUGCAAUCGUAUUGAAACUAAGUUACUGGGGCUUGCCUCCCAUACAAGCUUUGCUUUCCUUGGCAAGCCCCUCCGUUCUGUUUUAUAUAGCUAUUAUAGUCAAAGUUGCUUUAGUUCGCAUCAGUUCUCAUUGUUUAUACCUUUUAAUUCUUAUGCAUUAUUCCGAUUGAUGUUGUACUUUAAAUUUGACUAUGUAUUG